This is a non-coding RNA of Rhopilema esculentum, 211 nucleotides long. NCBI's taxonomy places the organism in Eukaryota, Metazoa, Cnidaria, Scyphozoa, Rhizostomeae, Rhizostomatidae. The record is from RefSeq and is a predicted model, not a curated record.
UGCGCACUCCUUAAGGCCACUUUUAGAAUGUCUCCAAAUGCACUAAAUGCUUAUACAUAGGUAUAAGCAUUUCUUGCAUUGCUUGGCAUUCACCAGCUUUACCGCUGUUCAUUGAAAGUGCUUGAGUCAUAAGUGUGCUAUAGUAAUACAGUCUGGCAUCUUUUGUGCCCUUGCAUUGCAUUUGCUCUGGGUUCCCUCAUGCCAGAUAUAU